This is a non-coding RNA of Gymnopus androsaceus JB14, 80 nucleotides long. Lineage: Eukaryota; Fungi; Basidiomycota; Agaricomycetes; Agaricales; Omphalotaceae. The record is from the annotation of a GenBank genome assembly.
GGGCGUAUGGUUUAGAGGUAUAAUGCCUGUCUUGAAUGUUCAAAGUCGAGAGGUCUUCGGUUUGAAUCCGGAUUCGCCCC